GACGAACGCUGGCGGCGUGCUUAGCACAUGCAAGUCGAACGGAAAGGCCCUGCUUUUGUGGGGUGCUCGAGUGGCGAACGGGUGAGUAACACGUGAGUAACCUGCCCUGACUUUGGGAUAACUUCAGGAAACUGGGGCUAAUACCGGAUAGGAGCUCCUGCUGCAUGGUGGGGGUUGGAAAGUUUCGGCGGUUGGGGAUGGACUCGCGGCUUAUCAGCUUGUUGGUGGGGUAGUGGCUUACCAAGGCUUUGACGGGUAGCCGGCCUGAGAGGGUGACCGGCCACAUUGGGACUGAGAUACGGCCCAGACUCCUACGGGAGGCAGCAGUGGGGAAUAUUGCACAAUGGGCGGAAGCCUGAUGCAGCAACGCCGCGUGCGGGAUGACGGCCUUCGGGUUGUAAACCGCUUUCGCCUGCGACGAAGCGUGAGUGACGGUAAUGGGUAAAGAAGCACCGGCUAACUACGUG
Molecule: ribosomal RNA, 467 nt
Filed under: uncultured bacterium
Lineage: Bacteria
Description: partial 16S ribosomal RNA
Rfam family: Bacterial small subunit ribosomal RNA
Source: RNAcentral